Molecule: long non-coding RNA, 1918 nt
Filed under: Gossypium barbadense (sea-island cotton)
Lineage: Eukaryota; Viridiplantae; Streptophyta; Magnoliopsida; Malvales; Malvaceae
Description: long non-coding RNA (GBAR_LNC016331)
Source: RNAcentral
UUUAUGUUAAAAAAUAAAGUAUAGAAACUAAAAUUUAAUCAUUUUGUUAAAAGGAUAUAAAGAUUAAAGUUUAGUUGUAACUUGUAGGCAUAAUAGAGGGAUAAAAUGAUAUUCGACCAUUUUUAUAUAAAAAUAAAUACAUAUUACAUAAUACAUAAUAGCAUAAUACCGAACUCAUAUAUUGCACGAGAUAAUAAACUAGUUAUUUAACUAUACUAGUAGCCUUGUAAUACAAGAUCAAACUUGUCACAUGUCUUUAAGUAAUACUAAAAGAACACACAAAAUUCAAAUGAAAAGUCGCUAAGGUUGACUGUUUUGAAGGAAAGGGUGUGAGAUAGUGAUAUUAGCAACCUGCCUGGGCUUGCUAUUUUUUCUGCCUCACUAAUUAGCUUGUUUCUGCAAUAAAACAAAGCAAACACAAAAAAAAAAGAGAGAUUAAAUAAAACAACAAAGCAAACACAACUACUAUAUCAAACUAAUGAAAACAAAUGUAACAGUUCGUUUGAGAUUUUCCAAUUCGUUUAGACCAUAACGAAUUGGAAUAUGAAUGAAAACAAAUCUCAAACAAAUAUUUAGACCAUAAAUGUAACGGUAAGUUGGUAAUAACCUGCAAUUUAUUACUCCCUAGCUUUCUCUUAAUUAAUCAUUCAAUUGAUGCUGGAACUAGUUAAAUGAAAAUAAAUGAACUAAUUUCAGCCCCCGCUUAAAUAAAUAUUUUUUUUUUCUGCGAGGGAUGCAAUGAGCUUCAGGUUUCAACUACUUAUGAUUGUGUCUACACUAACAUAAAGUUCAGGCUACCAAAUAUAAGCAAACAAAGCUCUUGCAAGUCAGUGGUAGUAAGAAUGCAUUAUUACCAAUAAAAAUUCAUUAGCUUUUCAAAACUGAAAUAAUAAAAAAGAAAAAGAAGGUGACAACAAAGACAUAAAAGGAAGGUCCAUGAGACUCUGACAAUUGAUUUAUAAUAUGAUUCAUCCUUAGCAAAUUAUAAGGCAACUGAAUGACUAGGUUAACAAGAAAAUAAGCGAAAUUAGGAAUCCAUAGCUCUUUCCACACAAAGAGCUUAAUCAAGACUUAAGGCAUCAUGUAUUAAUGCAUGAAUGAUGUGUACUGGCACCAACCUGCCAGAAUAUAAUAUUAAAACAAACUAUAAUCAUAUAUGCCAGGAUCUUUACACCAGACCAAGUUUUAUCUACUCUCUGCUACAUAUAUGUGCUUUGAACCAUCAUUACAGUAACAUGUUUGUAUUGGGUUUUUAGACAACUCAUUUCAGAAUGGCUAGAAUAAUCUAAUAAUAAUUUCAAUGAAAUACCCUUGAGUAGGUGUCUUUUUUUUAUCAUAAAGAGGAUCACAGUUCAUAAAUAAAUAAACUUACAGUUAAAUAAGCAAACAUCAUAUUCCAAUUCGUUUGAGAUUUUCCAUUCAUUGUUACUGGUUCGUCAUAGCUUAAACACUGACAAUUUCGAUGGCCUUAAACUCAUUUUCUCAACCUCAUUUUGUGUUGAUACCAUUUAUGUGCCAGGACACCUUCAAGCCAUAAAUAUGGCAACAUUAACAGCAAAAAUAAAAAACACAACCAUUAACAGCAUUAACAGUAAAAUCAAAAUUAGAACACCAUUAACAGUAAAAAUCAAAAUCACAACCAACAUCAAAAAGCAAAAAAGGGAGAAAACGUUAAAAAAUUAGGAAACCGUUAACAGAUAACUCACAUUUGAAGACGUUGAAGGCUAGAUUCGCUGGAAGCACCGUUAGAGCGGAGGUGGAGUCGUGGAGGACCGGUCACCGGAGGUGGAAUGGUGGGUCGGGCGAGGUGGGUUUUCGAUUUGGGGGAAAAAAAAGGGAAGGGAAUUUAGGGAUUUGUCUCUGAAGAAAAAAAAGGGUAGGGAAGGGUGUCGGGGAAAUGGGGAGGGGAAUUGGGAAA